GCUCAGUCCCAGUUCCCAGACUUCUCCAGCCUGUAUCAGGCUGUGGCCUGGAAAGCAAGGGAGUGACCCCAGGGGGCGUUGUGACAGAAGACUGUUGCCUGCUGUCCUUUUCCCAGUUGAGGAACUGUGUCGCCACCCACCUCAUCAGCCCUGUUUUCUAAUUCCAACACAGACUUCUGGAUCCUCCCUGUUCCCUGUCCUAGCUCACCAUGCCCUUGCCCACCACUCUAAGGGAUACUGACACUGCCCAUCACGAGGACCCUGAAUUUACAUGGGUUUUGUAUUUUUUUUUUAAUAAGAUGCACUUUACUUUCUUUUUUUUUUUAAAUAAAGUCCAGCAAAUUAUAGUU
This 350-nucleotide long non-coding RNA is filed under the name Rattus norvegicus (Norway rat). RNAcentral describes it as "long non-coding RNA NONRATT000843". The record is from RNAcentral. Lineage: Eukaryota; Metazoa; Chordata; Mammalia; Rodentia; Muridae.